GAGAACAACCGGGAUUACCUCAGUAACGGCGAGUGAAGCGGUAACAGCUCAAAUUUGAAAUCUGGCUCCUUCGGAGUCCGAGUUGUAAUUUGUAGAAGCAGCUUUGGGCGGUGGGACCGGCCUAAGUUCCUUGGAACAGGACGUCAUAGAGGGUGAGAAUCCCGUAUGUGGCCGAGACCUCACACCUAUGUAAAGCGCUUUCGACGAGUCGAGUUGUUUGGGAAUGCAGCUCAAAAUGGGUGGUAAAUUUCAUCUAAAGCUAAAUAUAGGCCAGAGACCGAUAGCGCACAAGUAGAGUGAUCGAAAGAUGAAAAGCACUUUGGAAAGAGAGUUAAACAGUACGUGAAAUUGUUGAAAGGGAAGCGCUUGCAACCAGACUUGGACACCACUGAUCCGCGAGGGUUCUCCCUCGGGCACUCGGUGGGGUACAGGCCAGCAUCGGUUCGGAUGGUUGGAUAAAGGCCGCAGGAACGUAGCUCCUCUCGGGGAGUGUUAUAGCCUACGGUGCAAUGCAGCCCAGCCGGACCGAGGACCGCGCCUUCGGGCUAGGAUGCUGGCGUAAUGGUUGUAAGCGACCCGUCUUGAAACACGGACCAAGGAGUCUAACAUCUAUGCGAGUGUUUGGGCGUAAAACCCAUACGCGGAAUGAAAGUGAACGUAGGUGAGAACCCCUUUGGGAUGCAUCAUCGACCGAUCCUGAUGUCUUCGGAUGGAUUUGAGUAAGAGCAUAGCUGUUGGGACCCGAAAGAUGGUGAACUAUGCCUGAAUAGGGUGAAGCCAGAGGAAACUCUGGUGGAGGCUCGCAGCGGGUUCUGACGUGCAAAUCGAUCGUCAAAUUUGGGUAUAGGGGCGAAAGACUAAUCGAACCCAUCUAGUAGCUG
Molecule: ribosomal RNA, 881 nt
Filed under: Erysiphe salicis
Lineage: Eukaryota; Fungi; Ascomycota; Leotiomycetes; Helotiales; Erysiphaceae
Description: partial large subunit ribosomal RNA
Rfam family: Eukaryotic large subunit ribosomal RNA
Source: RNAcentral